This 435-nucleotide ribosomal RNA is filed under the name uncultured bacterium. RNAcentral describes it as "bacterial SSU rRNA". It matches the Rfam family "Bacterial small subunit ribosomal RNA", at positions 8 to 444 of the family's 1533-position model. The record is from RNAcentral.
AGAGUUUGAUCCUGGCUCAGAUUGAACGCUGGCGGCAUGCCUUACACAUGCAAGUCGAACGGCAGCACGGGGGCAACCCUGGUGGCGAGUGGCGAACGGGUGAGUAAUACAUCGGAACGUGUCCUGUAGUGGGGGAUAGCCCGGCGAAAGCCGGAUUAAUACCGCAUACGAUCUACGGAAGAAAGCGGGGGAUCGCAAGACCUCUCGCUACAGGGGCGGCCGAUGGCAGAUUAGCUAGUUGGUGGGGUAAAGGCCUACCAAGGCGACGAUCUGUAGCUGGUCUGAGAGGACGACCAGCCACACUGGGACUGAGACACGGCCCAGACUCCUACGGGAGGCAGCAGUGGGGAAUUUUGGACAAUGGGGGCAACCCUGAAUCCAGCAAUGCCGCGUGUGUGAAGAAGGCCUUCGGGUUGUAAAGCACUUUUGUCCGGA